This 169-nucleotide ribosomal RNA is filed under the name uncultured bacterium. Its description in RNAcentral is "partial 16S ribosomal RNA". It matches the Rfam family "Bacterial small subunit ribosomal RNA", at positions 338 to 524 of the family's 1533-position model. The record is from RNAcentral.
CCUACGGGAGGCAGCAGUGGGGAAUUUUGGACAAUGGGGGCAACCCUGAUCCAGCCAUGCCGCGUGAGUGAUGAAGGCCCUAGGGUUGUAAAGCUCUUUUGUGCGGGAAGAUAAUGACGGUACCGCAAGAAUAAGCCCCGGCUAACUUCGUGCCAGCAGCCGCGGUAAU